UUCGAUCAACUAGCGCAUCUCUUUCUACUCAAUUGCUAUGGUGGAGUGCUCAGCGCCCAACACUUGCAAGUUGUAACACUCAGCUACCCCAUUGGUUUCAGUUAUACGUCUCAAGGAUUGAAAAUGAACGGGUUACGAUUCCGCUUUCCUCUCCCCUUGCCAUACGUGUUCCCCGUUUCCUUGAUCAAACUUAAAUUGUAGCUUCG
Molecule: long non-coding RNA, 206 nt
Filed under: Gossypium barbadense (sea-island cotton)
Lineage: Eukaryota; Viridiplantae; Streptophyta; Magnoliopsida; Malvales; Malvaceae
Description: long non-coding RNA (GBAR_LNC009613)
Source: RNAcentral